UACGUAGGGUGCGAGCGUUAAUCGGAAUUACUGGGCGUAAAGCGUGCGCAGGCGGUUCUAUAAGACAGAUGUGAAAUCCCCGGGCUCAACCUGGGAAUGGCAUUUGUGACUGUAGAGCUAGAGUACGGUAGAGGGGGAUGGAAUUCCGCGUGUAGCAGUGAAAUGCGUAGAUAUGUGGAGGAACACCAAUGGCGAAGGCAGCCCCCUGGGAUAACACUGACGCUCAUGUACGAAAGCGUGGGUAGCAAACAGGAUUAGAUACCCCUGUAGUCC
This 273-nucleotide ribosomal RNA is filed under the name uncultured bacterium. Its description in RNAcentral is "partial 16S ribosomal RNA". It matches the Rfam family "Bacterial small subunit ribosomal RNA", at positions 524 to 796 of the family's 1533-position model. The record is from RNAcentral.